CUUCUUUGAGGCGAUGAUGAUAACUUGAGGGAAGUGCGUAAAAUAUUUGCUUUGAACAAGUUGAGGUUUGGACGGCCUACUCAUAGGCAACCGCUUCAUAUUGUCUUAGCCUUGGUGGUCGCGCGCAUUUCCCUCUAACGGUAAUUUAUUGCUCGGCAACCACAAAAGUGUGGAAAAUGUUUACUUCGAACAAGUGGAAGUUUGGAUGGCCUACUCAUAGGCAACCGCUUUAUAUUGUCUUACCCUUGCUGAUUACACACAUUUUCCUACAACGGUAAUUUAUUGCUCAGGAGCCGCUUCCUACCGUCCUUAUCCUUGGCGGUUGCGCACAUUUCCCUCCUACGGUAAUCUAUUGCUCCUACUGCUACCCAAUCCUUAUGACCAAUCUUGCCGAGUACUUAUGAACAAUGUUGCCGAUUCUACUUAACUGAGCCUUACCUUUUUGUUCCCUUUUUGGGUGAUUCUUUAAACUGGUUUUACAAAAGAAUUUAUACAACUGUUUGGAUUGUUCCCUGUUCAUUGCCUUUUUAAAUACUUUUCUUAGUUUGUUUGUCGACAUUUGAAUUGAAUUCUUCCUCGGAUUUUUUUUGCAUGCAUAUUCUUUUGGCAAUUCUUUGGAUUAUGUUUUUUCAUUCAUUUAGCAUAGUCUAUUAUAGUAUUUUCAUUGACCGUAAUAGAACCAUCUAAUUUAUUUCCUGCUUUUUUGAAGAAUAUUUUCCCUGCUGCCGCUUUCUAUUUUCUGGUUCUUUUGUGAGGCACUGAUGGCAAGCUGAGGAAAGUUGUUCAUUAACUGCUCUCGGUAAUCCACUGAUCCUGCCACUACCUUUUACUCAUGCAUCUCUAUAGGUGCUUCUGGUGAUUUAUUCAGUCUUCUCGGAGCAAUGCUGUCGGAGCUUCUCACUAACUGGACCUUAUAACCACACAAGAUUUAUCUUUUCUUUCUCUCAUUUCCUUUUUGAGGCUCAUGAGUAAGUUUUCUGGAAGCUGAUUUUUUUCGACUUACUUCUACAGGCCGGAGCUUUAAUAACUCUUUUGGCCAUGAUUGCGAUUAGCUUGGCCCUCGAAAUACUCCCGCAUGUAGAUAACUUUGCACAUAUUGGGGCAUUUCUCACUAGCUUUCUCUUAGGUUUUGUACUACUGCUCGAACCUCAGUUUGCAUAGUUGGAACGGCAAAAUCUGCCUCCUGGAAGGAUGGUCCCACAGAGACAUAAGGCUUACCAGUUAAUGUUAUUGGUUGUUGCGCUCA
This is a long non-coding RNA of Ananas comosus (pineapple), 1246 nucleotides long. RefSeq lists it as uncharacterized. The record is from RefSeq and is a predicted model, not a curated record. Lineage: Eukaryota; Viridiplantae; Streptophyta; Magnoliopsida; Poales; Bromeliaceae. The transcript is spliced from 3 exons.